This 497-nucleotide ribosomal RNA is filed under the name uncultured bacterium. RNAcentral describes it as "partial 16S ribosomal RNA". It matches the Rfam family "Bacterial small subunit ribosomal RNA", at positions 28 to 507 of the family's 1533-position model. The record is from RNAcentral.
GACGAACGCUGGCGGCGUGCCUAAUACAUGCAAGUUGAGCGAUGAAGCUUGGUGCUUGCACCAAUUUGAAGAGCAGCGAACGGGUGAGUAACGCGUGGGGAAUCUGCCUUUGAGCGGGGGACAACAUUUGGAAACGAAUGCUAAUACCGCAUAACAACUUUAAACAUAAGUUUUAAGUUUGAAAGAUGCAAUUGCAUCACUCAAAGAUGACCCCGCGUUGUAUUAGCUAGUUGGUGAGGUAAAGGCUCACCAGGGCGAUGAUACAUAGCCGACCUGAGAGGGUGAUCGGCCACAUUGGGACUGAGACACGGCCCAAACUCCUACGGGAGGCAGCAGUAGGGAAUCUUCGGCAAUGGACGAAAGUCUGACCGAGCAACGCCGCGUGAGUGAAGAAGGUUUUCGGAUCGUAAAACUCUGUUGGUAGAGAAGAACGUUGGUGAGAGUGGAAAGCUCAUCAAGUGACGGUAACUACCCAGAAAGGGACGGCUAACUACGUG